RNAcentral lists this transfer RNA (75 nucleotides) under Candidatus Dojkabacteria bacterium. RNAcentral's name for it is "tRNA-Glu". It matches the Rfam family "tRNA". Rfam says of the family: Transfer RNA (tRNA) molecules are approximately 80 nucleotides in length. Their secondary structure includes four short double-helical elements and three loops (D, anti-codon, and T loops). The record is from RNAcentral.
GGCCCUAUCGUCUAACGGUUAGGACGCUUGAUUCUCAAUCAAGUAAUCCGGGUUCGAUUCCCGGUAGGGUCACCA